This 362-nucleotide ribosomal RNA is filed under the name Procambarus pubischelae deficiens. RNAcentral's name for it is "partial small subunit ribosomal RNA". The record is from RNAcentral. Lineage: Eukaryota; Metazoa; Arthropoda; Malacostraca; Decapoda; Cambaridae.
UAGUACACUUAGAUUUAAUGAAUAAAUACUAGAAUAUUAGAAGUUAUGUUCUUUAAAUUUAAAAAAUUUGGCGGUGUUUUAGUCUAGUUAGAGGAACCUGUUUUAUAAACGAUACAACACGCAUUAUUUUACUUGUUUUGGUUAAUCAGCUUGUAUACCGUCAUUAUAAGAUAAUUUAGGAGAAAAUAUUAUUGUAAUCAUAUUAUUGAGUAUAUUAGAUCAAGGUGCAGCUUAUAAAUAAGUAAAUAUGGGUUACAAUAAAAUUUAUUUAUUAUGAAUUAAAUAUUGAAAUAUAAUUAUGAAGGAGGAUUUAAUUGUAAGAAAGGGAGUAGCAAGAUUUUCUGAUAUAAGCUCUAAAUUAU